RNA transcript from Brassica napus (rape), 2154 nucleotides. RefSeq lists it as uncharacterized. The transcript has 7 exons. NCBI's taxonomy places the organism in Eukaryota, Viridiplantae, Streptophyta, Magnoliopsida, Brassicales, Brassicaceae. The record is from RefSeq and is a predicted model, not a curated record.
UUUUAUCAACGAGAUACAAUACAAAUAAGAACAGCUAAGCAAGGCUCAGUUUAUCCGACAUAACACAACGAUCUUUCUAAAUGGGUUCUUUCGACUUGUCCUAUGCUUCAUCAUUCAAGGGAGGAAGUGAAACAUUUCUUCGGAAUGUGUUUGAGAAUAUACUGAAGACGUAUCUGAGGAAGAACCCAACAGCGAAGACCAUAUGGGAGCUUGUUCAGUCAUUGGACAACGAGAAUAUCUGCUACGAUCACUUCACUUUCCAGACGUUUAAGGUGGAGGGUUACGGAAUAGAAUCCUUAUCGAGCUUCUUCAUGGAUUAUGGAUAUAAAGUUGAAGGUGGGCUUGAUUUUCCAACGAAGAAACUAAGAGUUCUCACUUUUUCUCCUCCGGAUAUUUACGUCCCCGAUGAUGGUCAUGGUCUAGGCAAUGGCCCUUUGCCACGACUUGUUAUAGCUGAGCUUUUUGUGGACGAACUAAGUCCUGAAUCACAGGAGAUAAUACGGAAGUAUCUAAAACCGAAAGGAGGUAAAUAAGCGGUUCUUUCAAGUACUUUGGGGUCUUUAAUUUGGGAGAAGCCAACAUCCACCGACUUCCAGCAACUUGCCAAAGAGAGUGAUUUUGCGGCAUGGGUACUUGUUCACGGCUACAUGAUGAACCAUCUUGCAUUUUCUGUUCAUCGACUCAAACACCAAUUUAGUGACAUCAAAUGCAUCAAAGAGUAUCUAGAAGAAAAGGGAUUCGAACUCAACAACGACGGAGGAAUUCUCAAAGUGAGUCAAGAUGGUCUACUAUUACAAGUGUCAUCCAUCUCGGAGAAGAUUGCGUUUGAAUUUGCAGAUGGGGUCACUGAAACAAUCCCGGCUUCAUACAUUGAGUUCACUCAACGUUUGGUUCUUCCGGAGUUCAAAGAUCUGCCUCAUAACCAGAUUAAAGAGUUCCAUAGACGCGAUGGAUUUGAUUUGGGAAACGCAAAAAACAUUUUGGAAAGCGCACGUUUCACCUCAGAUGUCUAGAAUCAGUUUGGUCCAAUCCUGCCUUUAAUAAAAACCAAUAGUAAACAUAUGGGUUUGUGUGUUUCAAAAAAAAAACAAACAUAUGGGUUUGUAAUGCAAGAAAACUAUUUUAAUGUGUGUGCUGUGAUAUAUGUGUGUGUGCCUUCUUUUCAGGAGACAUGUCUCCUGUGGAUUAAAGAUUACUUACUAGUACUACAUCAUUUCACGGUAAUGUGGUUUUACAUCAUUUCACGGUAAUGUGGUCUUAGAUUUUUUUACACGUUCAUAAAAAAUAUUUAGUUUCCAGUAUGUAUUCUCUAGAACUAGUUUUUUUUGUUCAAAAGAACUAAUUUCUCACCGCCGCCUUUAAAGACAAAACUUAAAAAAAAAGAAUUAAGGUUGCAAAUCUCAGUCAACAUCUCCUUAUGUCUGAAAGUGACUAAAAUCUCAGUAUAUCAGUAAAAACUCAGAGCAUUAUAAAAUAAAUAUGUAUUCUUAAAAGGAAAGAAAAGAAAAAUUUUUGAAGUUGAUAUAAAUAUGGGUUUAAAGGAUUUUAAAGUUAUUCAUUUACAUAAUAAUAUACAAACCGUAAAUCCCCUCAAUCGUUUUUGCUUUUUUCUUUAUUUUGUUCAAUAAGUUUUGAUUUGCGGUUGUUCACAAAAGUCUACUACAGUGUCCUCAACCCGAGGUCUCAACAAAGUGCAGCUAUCUAAAAGGUGAAAGCCUGAGUUGAUGAUUAACAAUACCUGAAGCGACAAUGGAAUCUUCAACUUGUACCUACAUAUUCUAGUAGCAGAAGCCCUGCGACAUACAUUCAUAGGGUCAAAACUGGAACGCUUCAUAAAGCUAGAAUAGACAAAUAACACAAGUAUUUUAUUUUUACUUGUUGGAUAUUUUAAGAAUCAUAGAACAAUACAAGACAUAUCCAAAGCUGGGAGCAUAUUAUACGAUCAAAAUUCUCGGCUAUUUCUUCAUGACCACUUACUUUGGCACGUUGAAUGGCUAGCUUGUUUAGGCUGAUGAGAAAAUCAUGCAAAAACAAGUUCAAUGCAAAUUUAUAAUCAAAAUUUUGUUAAGCUAUUGAGAGUGAAAGAUAUAUAGCUUUCAUGAGGAGUUACCAGUUCAGUUUCUGAAAGAGAACACAAACAAGUAAUAUGUUCAA